GGCAACAUGGUAUAGUGGUUUAAGCAUUGGACUAGGACUCUACAGGCCAGGGUUCAAAUUCCCACUUGGCCA
Molecule: non-coding RNA, 72 nt
Organism: Phrynosoma platyrhinos (Desert horned lizard)
Lineage: Eukaryota; Metazoa; Chordata; Lepidosauria; Squamata; Phrynosomatidae
Source: the annotation of a GenBank genome assembly